RNAcentral lists this transfer RNA (82 nucleotides) under bacterium. RNAcentral's name for it is "tRNA-Leu". It matches the Rfam family "tRNA". From Rfam's summary of the family: Transfer RNA (tRNA) molecules are approximately 80 nucleotides in length. The record is from RNAcentral.
GCCCAGGUGGUGAAAUUGGUAACCACGUGCGGUUCAGAGCCGCAUGCCGUAAGGCUUGGAGGUUCAAGUCCUCUCCUGGGCA